AUGGAGAGACUCACCCGGUGGUGCCCCCACCACACUCAGCCUGGGGACCUGGUGGCUCUCCCAGCCUGCAGCAUCCCCGCGGCACCAGGGCCACGGGUGCCACCAGCCCAUCGGCCACAUCCAGCGAGGGCGAGGGGCCACGUCCAUCCAGCGGGAGCCACGCGGGUGUCCUCGUCCCGGCCAGGCUGUCCCCGCUCACACCGUGGACUCCUUGGCAGCCGCCCAGGCUCUCUGGCAGCCGUAGAGCCACUUGAUGACUCGGGCGUUGCGCUCCACCACGGAGACGGCGGAGCCCAACCGGGCGUCCGGCUCCUCCUCGCCCGGCCCCGCGUCCCCCUCGCUGCCCCCCGAGGCCCGGCCGGGCUCGGACUCGCAGGAUCCGGGGGGCCGGGCCGAGGCGCUGUCCCAGCCCGCCGGCCCGAAGCGCUCCCGGCCCAGCAGCUCCACCAGCGCCCGGUCCAGCCCGCAGUAGUUGAAGAAGCGCUCCUGCUCCGACAGCGGCAGCGACACGCGCAGAGCCAGCGGCUCCUUCCCGGGGGUGCCGGGGGGCUGCUCGGCUGCGGGAGAUGGGGGAUGGCAGGACAUGGGGAAGAUGCCACCGCUGUCACCGCCGCUGCCGCCUCCCGGUGUCCGCGCCUCGUCCUUCUCCGCCGGCGCCCACAGCAUGGGGGUCUCGGGGCUCUGGGGGGCUCUGGGUCCCUCGCCCAGCGCCCUGGCGGGGGGCGAGCUGGGGGGCCUGUCUCUGAGGGGUCCCUGGAAGAGGCGCCGCACCAGCCCGGAGCCCUUGGUGUUCUCCUUGUCCCCGGCCAGGCAGUCCCGUUUCUGCCGGUAGAUGACGAGCGAGUCGGGUCUCAGCAGGCGCCGGCUGCCGCUGCGGCGCGACACGGGGGACUGCGGGCACGGCAGCUUGCGGGACCCGUCCCGGCUCAGCUCCGAGCCCGGGCACAGCUCGCUGCACUGCUGCCGGCCCAGCCGCCGCCGCCCGUGCGGGGACAACCGGGGCGAGCCCCGCAGCGCCGGCUCCUGCCGCCUGUUGAUCACCUGCUGGGACUUGACGUACUUGGCCUUGUCGGCCUCCAGGCGCUCCACGGCGCUGGGUCUCCGGCCCCCGCUGCCCCCCGACCCCUGCGGGCACUCGGGGCCCCGGCUCAGCCAGGCCAGGGGGGAGCCGCGCCCGGGGGCCACGAGGCGCAGGUUGCUGGAGGCGCAGACGGCGAGAGUGGGGCUGCCCAAGGGCACCAUGGCCCCGGAACGGCGCUGCUGAUCUCUCUGUGCCCUUCGGAGUGA
RNAcentral lists this long non-coding RNA (1287 nucleotides) under Parus major (Great Tit). RNAcentral's name for it is "lncRNA (ENSPMJG00000017993.1)". The record is from RNAcentral. Lineage: Eukaryota; Metazoa; Chordata; Aves; Passeriformes; Paridae.